This 351-nucleotide unclassified non-coding RNA is filed under the name soil metagenome. RNAcentral describes it as "partial contains 5.8S ribosomal RNA, internal transcribed spacer 2, and large subunit ribosomal RNA". The stretch from base 1 to 120 matches the Rfam family "5.8S ribosomal RNA", at positions 35 to 154 of the family's 154-position model. The record is from RNAcentral.
GAUGAAGAACGUAGCGAAAUGCGAUAAGUAAUGUGAAUUGCAGAAUUCAGUGAAUCAUCGAAUCUUUGAACGCACAUUGCGCCCGCCAGUAUUCUGGCGGGCAUGCCUGUUCGAGCGUCAUUUCAACCCUCAGGCCCCCAGUGCCUGGUGUUGGGGAUCGGCCCAGCCUUCCUGUAAGGCCGCCGGCCCCGAAAUCUAGUGGCGGUCUCGCUGUAGUCCUCCUCUGCGUAGUAGCACAACCUCGCAGUUGGAACGCGGCGGUGGCCAUGCCGUUAAACACCCCACUUCUGAAAGUUGACCUCGGAUCAGGUAGGAAUACCCGCUGAACUUAAGCAUAUCAAUAACGGAGGA